RNAcentral lists this non-coding RNA (31 nucleotides) under Mus musculus (house mouse). Lineage: Eukaryota; Metazoa; Chordata; Mammalia; Rodentia; Muridae. The record is from RNAcentral.
UGGGAUUAAAGGUGUGUAUCAAAAAGCCAUU